This 253-nucleotide ribosomal RNA is filed under the name uncultured bacterium. RNAcentral describes it as "partial 16S ribosomal RNA". It matches the Rfam family "Bacterial small subunit ribosomal RNA", at positions 524 to 776 of the family's 1533-position model. The record is from RNAcentral.
UACGAAGGGGGCUAGCGUUGUUCGGAAUUACUGGGCGUAAAGCGCGCGCAGGCGGUCUUCCAAGUCAGUGGUGAAAGCCCGGAGCUCAACUCCGGAAUUGCCAUUGAAACUGUUUAGCUUGAGGAUGAGAGAGGUGAGUGGAAUUCCCAGUGUAGAGGUGAAAUUCGUAGAUAUUGGGAAGAACACCGGUGGCGAAGGCGGCUCACUGGCUCAUUACUGACGCUCAGGCGCGAUAGCGUGGGGAUCAAACAGG